CAAUUCUGGGGUCAGAAGCCAUGGAGUCAGCAUUAUCACCAAGGAUAUUAUUGAAUACCCAAAUAAAACGAACUGAUACAUAUUUCUCCAAAACCUUCACAAGAAGUCGACUGUUUUCUUUAGUAGGCUAACUUUUUAAACAUUCCACAAGAGGAAGUGCCUGCGGGUUCCUUUUUUAGAAGCUUUGUGGGUUGAUUUUUUUUCUUUUCUUUUUUGUACAUUUUUAAUUGCAGUUUUAAAGUGAAUCGUAAGAGAACCUCAGCAUUGUGCACGAUAAGAGAAUGUGUCAGUAUUUCAGGGUUCUACAUUUUAUCUGUAAAAUGUGACUUUUUUUUUUUUAUCACAACAAAAGUAAAAUGUUGCUUUGUACCUGGUGUCUUUUAUUAAGAAUUUACUCCCCCCAUUUCUCACAGAGAUAACAGUCGGGAGUCAUUGUCACAAUAUAAUAGAAAUGUUAGCAACCAGAUUCAUGGGAGGACCGCGCAGUCCUCAUGAAUCACCUGAGACUCUGUACUGCUCCUAGAACACUCCAUCCUCUCUGUAGUUUGCCGAGCGGCGGAGGGGGAAGCUUCCAUCGUAGUUCCUGACCAUAACUGGGAAGUCUUUUUCUUUUUUUUUUUUUUUUUAAAUAACAACGGAAUUGGCCUAAUGGGGAACGAAGAGAAAACUUGGAACCAAGAGAGAGAAGAUGGAGUGUACGUAGAAGGGCUGUUCAAAAUGUAAAACUUUGGUUGCAUUAUUUGUGGAGGCUCAAACUUGUGAAGGUUCAAUACCAUAAUUUUUCCAUUUGUUCUGCAUUUUGAUUCUGAAAAGAAAGCUGGCUUUGCCCAUUUCUUAUUAAAAAAACUUGUUGUAAAUCCAGUUGUCUAAUGGGAUCUAUAUGAAGUUAGCUAUGUCUGUAUGCCCUUCUCCCACAAAAUACUGUAUCACUAGUGUGCUUGUAGUACUUUACUCCACCAUCUUUGUAAGCUAAUGAAAUUGUGAGUCACCCAUUUAUAUCUUAAUUUUUAAUCAUGUCAGUUCUUGAAUGGGUAUCUCCUUAGCCUGCUGAUUUCUUUUUCUUUCUAAAGAAAGUGGGUGGAGAAAUUAAUUUAGACGUUUGUUUGCAAUAAAAAGAAUUCAUUUUACUCUCGUUUUGGGAUUCUCGCCAUCAAGGUUCAAAAUCCCUUUAUAAAACUCCCAAGAGGAGGAAAUUUAAGUGUGUGCUUUCUGGACAGCUUAUUCUGUACUCCGUACUUCGAACAUUUAGGUUUUAAAAACUUAAAUGUAUACUGACAAUUGAGUUUUAAUUACGAAGUAAAGUCGAAUCCUUCCUUCCCCUCCCCCCCCAGACGACUUAACAUUUAACGAGGGGAAAAGGUGUACUGGCUGGGAGAAGUUAACACUCAGUUUACCAUCUUUACGAAAUGCUAACGGCUGUCCUCAAGAGAAUAUCUUAAUACGCAUAUAUCUGAUACGUGAGACUCUGGGAACAGAUGCUUUUAGAAGCCAUCGUACAAGCCAGUCCUUGAUUUCACGACUACACAACACUGCUAACUUAACUGUAGCUAUGUGACCGCAUUAGAUCCCCUAAUUGUAAUUCUAUUGGGUUUGCACAGAACACUUAAUCUUCUAAAGGACCCUCACUGAUGUGAAGUGAGGAAUCAGGAGUCAAACUGUAGAACUAAAACUUGACUUCAGUCUAGCGUUUUGUUGGUGUUUUAGGUUGCUUCUGGUAAGUUGAGGUUUGUCUGUAUUUUCUUCUGUUUGCUUAGAUUUUUGUUUUAGCCACCUUCAAUCAGAUUUUUCACUUCUUCAUACUCCUAGGAAUUCUGCCACGAGCGGAGCGGGAGUGGAGUUUUAGCUGGUGGUGUAGGUUUAAGUUGAUACAUUUUGGGAGCGGAGGCUAAUCCUGGAAUUCCGGUGAGAAUACUUAAUGGGACAAGGUAGCGUCUCAAGGGUUUUUGUUUUUUUAGCGGUUAGCUUUAGUGCUGGCAACCACUGGCAUUAACUAUUAUAUCAGUACACAUUGUAAUUACGAGGAUUGCAUAGUAGACCUACCCAGGGGAAAAAUUUGUUUUCAGCUUUGUUGCUAAUCAGUGUUCUGGGUACGUUUGAAACAUCUUGGAUCUACCUUCUAGUUGAAAACUGCUUCCCGAGGAGUUCAUACUCUAACGUGAAUCGUGGUGGGGGAGUAAUGGCCAAAUAAUACUGUUGGGUAGACUGUUCUCCCUUGGGUAGUCCAGAGAAGUUUGGGAAGACCAGUGGACUAGAUAAAAACACUGUCCAGGAAUGUGUUAAAAUUUCCAGCAGCGGUCUCCUCAAGAUUAGAACUAAAUAUGCCUGGAAAGGAAUAAUCUUCGUGUUUAAGGAACUGGGAAGGGGGAGCGUAUCAGAUAGCAAGCAAAAGGGCGAAAAAGAAGAAACGCCAUUUGGCAGAGUAGGGUCUGUAAACGAGAAACUUGGCCUCCUGCUUGCCCCUCCUCUAGCCUGUCCCUCUGUGGCGAGCAAAACCGAAGAAACACAAGACCUAGUUGGGAACAAAUGUCUCCGCUCCACCGGUGAGAUUGCUGUUGGUUCAGUGGUACUUCCCCUAGAAAGUUUGGCAGGUGGUCCUGUCCUCCUGAGUGAGGUGUUGGAUCAGAUUGGUGAGCUCCAGUGGUGUGAGGAGUGCAGGAACAGGUUAAUCAGGAAAGACGGCGGAUCACUGUAAGAAAUGAAGUAACAGCUCCUGUCCUGUAGAGCAUUUGCUUUGCUGCUGGUAGGUUCUGUCUUGUGGCUCCUGUUUGGCCUUUGACGUGGAGGUCUCUGGCUCAGACCUAGGAGGUCAGGACUAACUUGUGGCCCCUUCCUGGCCAGACAGUAAGAUGAAGUCUUAGAAUGCAGCACGAGUGAAGUCAGUCUGACCAAAGGAAGCCUCAUUAAAUCCACAAAACCCGAAGCUCACACUUGCCCAGGGUAGAUUCUGUCUGAAAAUGAGGACCAUGUCCUGAGCACUGACAAGGUAUUAAAGCUUCCUAAAGACUACUUGCCUUGACAAAGUCCUUAAAAUUUUUCCGGGAGAAGUAAUACUUAAGUAUGUUUCCCACCUUCGGGAGAACUUACAUUCAUGGAGAUAAUGUGUUCUGUAUCCAAUGCUUGCAUCAGUUGUGGGAAUGAAUGUGUUUUUCUGUGCGCUUAAUAUAAAUUGGCUGUUUGUCCUUAGGACCGUUUUCAUAAUAGGUCCCAUCGCACAAAUAAAAAUCAAGUAUUCCCAUACCUUUUUAAGCUUGGGGUAGACUUCGGUCACCUACAAAAAACUGAUUAUAGGUCUGUGGGAAUAUAUCUGGUACUUAAAAAGCCAAAACCAGAAUAAGCUACUAAGGAAGGCAUAAACCUGUCUUUCAUAGCCCAAGUCUUAGUGUCUGGUAAUGUAACCUUAAAAACCGUUUCCACGGCUCCCUUUGUACGCGUAAGUAUAAAAUGUCUUUUUUAAAAGUGGGUGGAUGUAGCAGAGAAUAAUUGGCCACUCCCACCCCCCAGAAUAUUUCUUGAACUACUCCGGAAAGAGGAGUGCAGCAUUCUUUUCUAAAGCCGUGCGUACCUAAGUAUUUAAAAUGGUUUGAGUCUAAACUUUGUCAUCGGUGUUUCUGGGGCUAUGAGAAAUGGUGUAACGUUUCAGGAAUGGUAAAGAGCAAAGAUACGUAGCAUUAAGGGCCUUGGCAACAGGUCACGGUGGUUACGCCCGGGGCGGUAAAGGGGACGGUAAAUUGGUAUUUAGACUAACUGCGUUAGCUGUCUAAAUAGUUUUAGUCCCGUUCAACCGACCUCUUUGAACUCGAAUGGUUAAUUUCAUAAACUUACCUAAAACUAUAAUGCCCUUCUGCUACGCGGAGCCUUCUGUUUGGAUUUAGGUUUGAAUUUUCGGCCCUUUUCUUCAAGUCUGCAGUAAAACACUCGGGGGUAGUAUGUGUAGCCGGGUUAGUGGUUGAGUUUUUCUUGAGGUUCCUCUGAGGCCCAGUGUAUUUUAUACCCUGGUGCCAGCACUGCAGGUACAUGAUAGACAAAUACUAAAAAUACUUUAUGGUGGCUAGAUCGUGUUGAAGCGAGUGACCUUAGCCUUCCUCCUCUUUUUUACUCACCUUGCUAUCUAAGGUAAACCCUUCAGAAUUGUGAUGGAAGUGAUCUAAAGGCGUGCUGAUUGACACAGUGUAUAUCUCUUGAGUGCGUUGGGGUAGACAAAAAGAAAAACCAGGAUCCCCAAGUCCCUUAAUACCCCGAAGUUUAAAUCCUGUAUAUGUGACAUUGAAUAGUUGAAAUCACCUACUUAAUAGCCAAUUGUUUUUGCUAAAAACGUAUGCUACUUUAUUUGGUGGUUAUACUUCGUCGAUUUCAACACGCAUACGGCUGGAGACCCCAUACGAGCACUUAAGAUCCGUAGGAGAAGGCCAACAGCAUGCGCGUACAUUAAGUGACAGACGUCACAUCCUAACCAGUUGACUAAAAUUACAGGCGAUUGAGUACGUCUGAUGAGUUGGUCCAAGGAACUUAAUUUAGUCUGUAAGGCUCAGUAGAUUGUAAAUACUAUAGUUCUAAUGUUAACCGGAGUUAUUUUAAAAAUGUUAACACCUGUGUAUUUUGUGAAGUUAGGUUGUGCCGUCCACAUGGAAACCGGAAUAACUACAAUUUCUUGGCAUUGUGUAGCUCCUGGGGCAUUCAGUUGUGAUUGUAGAGCAGUUACUUGUAGGGGAACAGAUCAUUGAUAGGCGCUACUUGGUUAGGGAGGUUAUUGGGACGAGGACUUUAACUGUGUGUUUCAGUUUGUACUUAACUUUAAUUAUUGCCUAGGAAUAUUACAAUUUUUUCUCCCUUUUCGUGCCAGGAUUCAACGUAUACUUGCAUCUUGACAAGGAACGGAGGGGGGGGGGUUUGGUUUUAAAGCUGGAAGGGUGGGUAUGAGAAACUACAUUCUAUAGUUGAAAGCGAGGCGGUAACGACAGUCUAGGUAAAUAGAGAAAGUGUCUUUGGGGAAGAUUCGCUUCGUUUUGGCUGCACCGCCAGUGGCGUUGCCGUCCCGGUGGCGGAGCACGUUCUCUGGAGCAUGCGCAGCUCCGACUGCAUAGGCCAGAGAGCCAACCUGUCUAAAUAAACACUGAACUGUUGUUUAUGGCAUGCUCUUCCCUGCCAGUCCUGUAACAGUCCAGGCGCUCACCGGAAGUAAAAUCCACUUGGUGCAGGGAAAUUUUCUGCACUUGCCAAGCACCUGAGAAGCAUACUCAACGCGUUAGGGUCAACGAAAAAAAAAUUAAAAGGCCAAGAACAGCGAGAUGGCCAGUAUGGUCGGCCAACCUGUGACGGAAACGUUUUGAAGUGUUAAGGCUUACAGACAGGUGAGGGAAAAUCGGUACUUCAGAAGAAGGAGCGGGGCUUUUACUAGAAUGGCAACUAGCAAUUGUUUUAGGUAGCUAGUAAUAGAAGGUGUCCUUACAUUUCAGUGGUCUAGUCGAAGGGAGUGGGAGCGUCAUGGUCAAGUACAACGAGAGGUUCCAGCUUUAUCUAUCUUUUUUUUUAAGUAAUAAAGCAAAAAAAAAAAAUAUAUGCUGAUUGAAAUUUCAUCUCCUUUUCCUUAGUCUGUCCAUGUGAAUGUCCUGUGUGGAAGAGUAAAGGGCCCAACUAAAUGUGUUCCAGUGAUUCCAAUAGGUAUUCCAAAUUCAUUGCUGCUUGUACAUUUCAUACUUGUUCUUUGGGCUUCCAGGAUUACCUUAAUUAGAACUCUCUUAUUUAAAAGUAGGGGAUUGGGAGACAUUGGUAACCCUGAUUGGCUAGAUUCUAUAAACUGGAAAACCAGGUUUUCUCCUCUGUCCUUCGCAUCCCCAAGUAUGAAGUAUUGGUGUGCCCGCAAGUGGUGGUCCUUGCAUGGGAUUAAGACUGCGUAUGCAAAUAGAGCCGAGCCCUUAAAAGGUUAGAUCCUUAGUCUAAUGGUUCAAAUUCUUUCUGUUGUAACUUUUUGGAAGACACUCUUUUUAAUUCUCCUCACUUGUAGAGAUUACGGAAAAUGCUUUAAUGCAGAAAACUGUCCAGGAUACCUGUGUCCAUGUUUUCCCCAGAUCUUUCUGCAUCUGUGCUAAAUGCGUACAUGCUUACUCUUUAUUUAUAAACAUUUGGAAAAUAGAUUGAGAUCCUUUUGGAUAAUGAGAUGGGACUCCAUAUCAAAAUGGAAAAAUCAACUAGGAAGUAAAUUUAAAUUGUGAAGACAGAAGGAAUAAAAAGGCUCAGUGUGAGCUCUGCUUGUGCCAGUCCAGAGCAUGUAAUUUCUCACCGCCCUGAAGUCCUUUAAAGGCUUAAUAAGAAGCUUAGAGGGAAAUGUAUUGGGUAAUACAGUAUAGCGUUGAGACGUAGCUAUCAGGAUUUGCUCAAUGAACUAGAGCUCUACGGUGUCACCUAAAAUCUGAUGGCUUCUGAAAGAGCAGACUGCUUGCUCGGUUUCAGACUAAAGAGUAAAAAUCCGAUUUUGUUCACUUGAGGAAGAAAACCAUUACAAGAAAAAGGUUUGUUUCAGAAAUAAGCUUUGAAUUCAGAUAGCAGAGCAUAGCUUUCAUUUCAUAGGACUUGUCCUCACAGUCCAAAGGGAAGAAACAUUUCCGUGGAAACUGCUCCAUUAAGAAACCCCGUGUAUACAGGUUGUCGACUUUGGUUUCCUAAGGGGAGGUCCUACCAUAAGUUUAUGGCAUAUGGAACUUAACGGAUGUUAUUCCUAGGAAAGUGGAACAGAUACCAUUUGUUCACAAAAAUGAACAACCGAAGGCUUUUUACAUUAGUGCCUGCUCGUGUUAAUGUAGUCACUGCUGGUUUUGUCAAGAUAGAAAUACUUGGGAAAAAACCUUUAUUCUAGAAAAUGAAGAGUAAGGCAAGCAUAGCUGUUGAAGACUCCUACUUGAAGUAGGAGUUACAAGCUUCAACGUUACAAGCUUCAACAUGUAAUACCUUGAGGAAGACCUUUGUAAUAAGCUUUGUCCCUAAAGCUUCGUAUUUUAAGAGAAAAAAGGUGGAGCUUCCUGCAUAAAAUCGGCCGCGUGAGACGCCAGCAUUGGGGUAUUGGUAUAUUCUGUUGUCCUCAUUGGAUGACCACCGGGCCAUAUUUUAAGAUGCUUCCAAAAACUAUUAUUAUAGAGGACCAUUAAAAAUCAGAAGUUUAGCACUCGCUUUAUUUUUUUCUACUCAUUAAGACUUUCUGUUUACCCAAACUGUAGUACGUAUAUUAACAUGACUUUCAAAGGGGUGCCUUGACCCCCAUCCGCUACAGAUUUUUAUCUAGGAAUAGAAGGAUUCCAACCCCAUUUGAUCCCUAGCUCUUUGCUGAAAAGUGCAUAAACAGGAGUCCUGAAUUUAUUAUAUAGACCUCCUCGCAUUAUAUAAUCGAAGCAAAGGGAAACCAGCGAUGGAGUAGAGGUACGUAGACUAAAAAGAUGCUUGCAAAUCAAAUAAUGGUACUAGGAAUAGUUAAAAUUUUUUGUUGCCAAACUUGGUCAUUAUAAAUCACAAGUCCAAAGAAAAGCUUCUAGUUAAUGUUAAAUUCCCUGAGGUCCUUUUACUGUGAUGGAAAAGCCAAGUAGUCGAGGGAGGGGUGAGGGAAGGGGGAAAUGCAUAGAGCACCAGACAGAUUUAACGAAGCAUUAUAGAUAAGCCACAAAGCGUUUUUAAAACUACUAAUGGCCGCAAUUCUAUUUUAAUCAGCUAUUUAGCUGGUAUCUACUGCUAGAUCACCUAGUGUGAAGUUUUGGAAUUAAUGGAACAGUGAAAGCCGCGAUUCACCUGGAGGUUCCCGAGGUCACGGAAGGU
This 7797-nucleotide long non-coding RNA is filed under the name Lynx pardinus (Iberian lynx). Lineage: Eukaryota; Metazoa; Chordata; Mammalia; Carnivora; Felidae. The record is from RNAcentral.